GACGAACGCUGGCGGCGUGCUUAACACAUGCAAGUCGAACGGAAAGGCCCUGCUUGCAGGGUGCUCGAGUGGCGAACGGGUGAGUAACACGUGGGUGAUCUGCCCCUUACUUUGGGAUAAGCCUGGGAAACUGGGUCUAAUACUGGAUAGGACCAUGCUGUAGGUGGUGUGGUGGAAAGAUUAGUUUCGGUAAGGGAUGAGCUCGCGGCCUAUCAGCUUGUUGGUGGGGUAAUGGCCUACCAAGGCGUCGACGGGUAGCCGGCCUGAGAGGGUGGACGGCCACAUUGGGACUGAGAUACGGCCCAGACUCCUACGGGAGGCAGCAGUGGGGAAGAUUGCACAAUGGGCGCAAGACUGAUGCAGCGACGCCGCGUGGGGGAUGACGGCCUUCGGGUUGUAAACUCCUUUCAGCCAUGACGAAGCCCUUGUGGUGACGGUAGUGGUAGAAGAAGCACCGGCUAACUACGUG
RNAcentral lists this ribosomal RNA (469 nucleotides) under uncultured bacterium. RNAcentral describes it as "partial 16S ribosomal RNA". It matches the Rfam family "Bacterial small subunit ribosomal RNA", at positions 28 to 507 of the family's 1533-position model. The record is from RNAcentral.